GCUUGCUUAGCUCAACGGUAGAGCAAUCGGCUGUUAACCGAUCGGUUGUAGGUUCGAAUCCUAUAGCAAGCGCCA
Molecule: transfer RNA, 75 nt
Filed under: Bacillota bacterium
Lineage: Bacteria; Bacillati; Bacillota
Description: tRNA-Asn
Rfam family: tRNA
About the family: Transfer RNA (tRNA) molecules are approximately 80 nucleotides in length. Their secondary structure includes four short double-helical elements and three loops (D, anti-codon, and T loops).
Source: RNAcentral